This 801-nucleotide ribosomal RNA is filed under the name Ijuhya faveliana. RNAcentral describes it as "partial 28S ribosomal RNA". It matches the Rfam family "Eukaryotic large subunit ribosomal RNA", at positions 98 to 912 of the family's 3401-position model. The record is from RNAcentral. Lineage: Eukaryota; Fungi; Ascomycota; Sordariomycetes; Hypocreales; Bionectriaceae.
GCGGCAAAAGCUCAAAUUUGAAAUCUGGCUCCAUGCGGAGCCCGAGUUGUAAUUUGGAGUGGACACUUCGGGUGCGGCCACGGCAUAAGUUCCUUGGAACAGGACGUCAUAGAGGGUGAGAAUCCCGUCUUUGGCUGCUGGACCGCGCCCAUGCGAAGUUCCUUCGACGAGUCGAGUUGUUUGGGAAUGCAGCUCUAAGUGGGUGGUAAAUUUCAUCUAAAGCUAAAUAUUGGCCGGAGACCGAUAGCGCACAAGUAGAGUGAUCGAAAGGUUAAAAGCACCUUGAAAAGGGAGUUAAAUAGCACGUGAAAUUGUUGAAAGGGAAGCGCUUGCAACCAGACUCGGUCGUGGGGGCUCAGCGGGCAUGCGUGCCCGUGUACUCCCCCAUGCUCCGGGCCAGCAUCAGUUCUGGCGGUUGGUUAAAGGCCUCUGGAAUGUAUCGUCCUCCGGGACGUCUUAUAGCCAGGGGCGCAAUGCGGCCAGCCGGGACUGAGGAACGCGCUUCGGCACGGAUGCUGGCAUAAUGGUUGUAAGCGGCCCGUCUUGAAACACGGACCAAGGAGUCUAACAUCCACGCGAGUGUUCGGGUGUCAAACCCGUGCGCGCAGUGAAAGCGAACGGAGGUGGGAGCCCGCAAGGGUGCACCAUCGACCGAUCCUGAAGUCUUCGGAUGGAUUUGAGUAAGAGCGUGGCUGUUGGGACCCGAAAGAUGGUGAACUAUGCCUGAAUAGGGGUGAAGCCAGAGGAAACGUCUGGUGGAGGCUCGCAGCGGUUCUGACGUGCAAAUCGAUCGUCAAAUUU